Molecule: transfer RNA, 72 nt
Filed under: Archaeoglobales archaeon
Lineage: Archaea; Methanobacteriati; Methanobacteriota; Archaeoglobi; Archaeoglobales
Also listed under: 1 other name
Description: tRNA-Ala
Rfam family: tRNA
About the family: Transfer RNA (tRNA) molecules are approximately 80 nucleotides in length. Their secondary structure includes four short double-helical elements and three loops (D, anti-codon, and T loops).
Source: RNAcentral
GGGGUCGUAGGUCAGCGGAAGACCACCGCCCUUGCGAGGCGGAAGCCGAGGGUUCAAAUCCCUCCGACUCCA